This is a long non-coding RNA of Solanum lycopersicum (tomato), 1989 nucleotides long. RefSeq lists it as uncharacterized. Lineage: Eukaryota; Viridiplantae; Streptophyta; Magnoliopsida; Solanales; Solanaceae. The record is from RefSeq and is a predicted model, not a curated record.
UCCUUGUGGAUUGGCAGAUAAAUUGCCCAAGAAUUGACUGCCUCAAACUUUCCCUGUUUCAUUCAAAUAGAGACCAUCACUUGAUAAUUAUCACUUCCCAUCUUAAGAAUGACUCCUAAUUUGGGUCUAUUUUGGAGAAGGAAGACCUAGAAAGAAAAAUAAAAUUAAAUCGUAAUUGGAUUGAGAAUUGUAAUCCUAUUCAACUUCAAAUUUAUAUAUAUUUUCUAUUGUCCUACAAAAAAAAAGUAUUGUAUUUUGACUAGGAGAAGAAUUUCAUUCCCAUCACAUGACAUCUAUAAACAGAUGUAUUGUAUCCACAUUUUUUCUUCAAUUAUGAAUUGUGAGCUACAAGCCUACGACGAAAGGGGCAUCAUUCAAGGUAAUUUUCCUCUUUUUUUUAUUUUCGUUACUUUUUCUACAGCUUAACACAACUAUCAUUGAAAAUUCAUAUCUUAUUGUAGAAAAAUUAAAAGCAUGAACAUUUUGAUUUUCUAGAAACUAGACUUCUAGAUCUCUAACAUAUCCAAAAUUCAGAAUUUAAUACCUAAUAUUUUAAAAUGAUUUUCUGAAGUUUAAUAUAGAUUCUACCAUGCUGAAAUUUUCAAAGUUGCGUGGCUUAACCAAAACUUUCAUGUCUUGAUGUAGGAAUGCCGAAAUCACAAGCCGCUCAAUCAUUUAGAAUAUAGACCAAAAGUUCUACAACAUAUCCAAAAUUUAAGAUAUAAUCCCUUCAGAAUCUUUCUAGAUGAUUUUGUAAAGUUAACUUUUAAUUCUGUCAUGUAGCUGAUUUCAGAUUUUUGUUGCCUCACAAAAUAUUUUAUAUCACAAUGUUAGAACAUCGUGCCAAAAAUGGUUGUGAUGGCUUGAAAUUAUACUUAAAAGAAUUAUUUAUUGCCAAGAAAAUAUAGUCUCAAAUCUAACCUAGCUAGCUUAGCAUGACUUUCAAGUCUCAAACCUCUUGACAGGUAACAACUUCUCCUCUAAUUUUUUUGUGGUCUUCCACCAUUUUUGUAGGAAGGCUUCGAAGGAUGAUCAAUGGAGAAGGUAGUCUUAUGAAUCAAAGGAAUGAAUACUCAUUCCCACCUAAAACAAGACUUAAAUGAUUAAAAGACCUCAACCUGUUGAAGAAUUUGAAGACCUCAACUUGCAGACUUGAAAAAUUUGAAGACUUCAACAUGUAUACUUGAAGAAUUUAAAGACCUCAACUUGCGGACUUAAAGAAUUUGAAGACUUCAACUUGUAAACUUAAAGAAUUUGAGGACUUCAACUUGUAAACUUAAAGAAUUUGAGGACUUCAACUUGUAGACUAAGGAUUUCAACUCGAAGACUUAAAGAAUUUGAAGAGUUCGACUUGCAGACUUAAAGGAUUUGAGGACUUCAACUUGCAAACUUUUAAAAAAUUAGAAGACUUCAACUUGCAAAAAAGAAUUUGAAGACUUCAACCUGCAGACUUAAAGAAUUAAAAGGAAUCAACUUGUUGACUUGAGAAUUCAACUUGAAUACUUGCAGAAUUUAAAGACUUCAGCUUGGAGAUUUAAAGAAAUUGAGGACUCCAACUUGUAGACAUACAUAUUUUAACUCGCAGACUUGAAGGAUUUUAAGACUUCAACUUGCAGACUUAAAGAAUUUGAAGACUUCCGCUUGCAGAAAAGAAUUAGAAGACUUCAAGUUGCAGAGUCAAAGAAUCUGAAGACUUCCACCUGGAGACUUAAAGUAUUUGAAGACUUCAACUUGCAUUGUUGAAAGAUUUGAAGACUUCAUCUCGCAUACUCGGGGAAUUUGAGGACUUUAGCUUGCAUACUUGGAGGAUUUGAAGAUUUCAACUUGCAUACUCAGGGAAUUUGAAAACUUCAAUCUCAAAGAAACUUAAAGCAUAAUGUUAACGGAACUCAUACUUAUUUAAAGGCUUGCCCCCAUCUAUUGACCAAUCAAUAAUUCGUACAAGUCUAAAGUUUGAUGAGACAAAAGAUAAAAGAAAAUACUUAUUGA